Molecule: unclassified non-coding RNA, 222 nt
Filed under: plant metagenome
Description: partial contains small subunit ribosomal RNA, internal transcribed spacer 1, and 5.8S ribosomal RNA
Source: RNAcentral
UUUCCGUAGGUGAACCUGCGGAAGGAUCAUUAAAGAACGCACCGUUUUUUGAAAUGGGUAAUUCUAAACCGUGUAUACAUACCUUCGUUGCUUUGGCAGACCGCCCCUCAGGGCGUCGGCUCCGGCUGACUGCGCCUGCCAGAGGACCCAAACUCUUUUGUUUAGUGAUGUCUGAGUACUAUAUAAUAGUUAGAACUUUCAACAACGGAUCUCUUGGUUCUG